Oryza sativa Japonica Group (Japanese rice) is the source of this 1273-nucleotide non-coding RNA. The record is from RefSeq and is a predicted model, not a curated record. Lineage: Eukaryota; Viridiplantae; Streptophyta; Magnoliopsida; Poales; Poaceae.
UUCGAGUGAUGUAUACCAAAGGACAGACAAUGUGGAAGAAAGGAAAGGAGUGACGAUCGACCUUGGGAAUUAGGAAAUGAAGCAAAGUGGGGAACAGAUCUGUCCUAUUUGCCUUACCACCCCAUUUGUGCGCGCGGAGAGCUUGAGACAUCUCUCAUCCUACUCUUCGUCAACUUAGAAUCGAAGAUAUCAAAUGGAGGAGGAGGUUCUGUCGACCUGUGGCUUGUGGGGCGCCAUGCCGAGCCUCCCCGGUAGGCUCGAGGGGCUUCUGCGUCGUCACGGCAACAUCCUGCCCAACGGGGCAGAAGACGAGUUACCACUCAUCAAGCAGGAUGUCGAGAAGAUAAUCUCCAUUCUCCAUGGAUACAGCAAGCCAAAACUGGAGGACAAUGCCAUGGUGGUGAGGUGCUGGAUGAAGGAGGUGCGAGAGCUGUCCUACGACAUCGAGGACUGCAUCGACCACUAUGAGCAUGCCAUGGCCAACUCUCGAAGCGGAUUUAAUGAUAAUAUUCGCCGCCGUAAGUUCAACCGGCGGCAUGGGAACAAGCUGCCACCUUGGGUUCAAGAGAAGCUGAAGCAGCGGCUAUGGAUGGCCAACAAGAUGAGAGAGUUCAGCACACGCGCGCAGGAGGCGCUUCAACGCCAUGCCAUGUACAGCAACCAUGCAUGGCGUAGCCACCACCGCUGCCAUUGCUUCUACUAACACCUGUGGUAUCGAUGUAUCUUCUAGCUCUUCUUUGCGUCCUGUGCGGUGCGAGGAACGUGCCGAGGACGUCCUUGUUGGGGUUGACUCCGCCAUGAACAAGCUCGAGGACUAUCUGUCUGGACACGCAGGAGAGGAGAAGCUCAGGGUGUUGUCUAUUGUUGGAUUUGGAGGAAUCGGGAAGACCACUCUUGCCAACGAGCUGUACAGAAAAAUUGGACGGCAAUUUGAGUGCCGGGCAUUUGUGCGGGCAUCCCAGAAGCCUGAUAUGAGGAGAUCCUCACCAGCAUUCUCUCGCAGCUUCGGCCGCACCAGCCACCUGACCAUCGGAAGGUGCAUAGCCUAAUUUCCAGUAUCAGGGCCCAUCUGCAAGAUAAGAGAAGCUCGAACGAGACCGAGAAAAGUGCAGUUGCUCAAGCAAUCGGAAUAAUUAGUCUGCCCAAUGGAUGGCCGCCAAUGCUAUGUUGUACUACGUACUGAUGUGUUUCGGCGAACCGAAGAUUUUGCUUUAAGGGAUUAUACAUUAAUUAUAAAAGAGCUUGGCAUGUCAGGUGGGGACUUUCAUACCUA